AUAUAUAUAUAUAUAUAUAUAUAUAUCUCCCCCUUUUUAGAAAUGACAAAUUAGAGGACGAACACAGCAUAAGCAGAUUGUACAAAAGGUUUUCUGAAUUGUACAACAAACUUAGUUUUUCCCAUUUUUUUCUGCUAACACGUGUAUUGUCCUCUAGAAACCACGUACCACUUCAUAUUGCAAACAGACUAUCUUACAGAUUUCUAUCAUCCUUCUCUUUUAAACAUUGGCUUUGUUCUUCACUCUUCUCAUAGUUUCUCUAUCAUUUGUUUUGAUUUUCUACUAUGUAUUCAUUUCUACGUGAAUGAUCCAAAAGGUUGGUGCUUUGUUUCUACUAGAUGUCUGUUGUUUAUGUAUAUUUUAUUUAUUUAUCCCAAGAAAUGGUUUGUCCUUUGUUUGCAUCUAUUUCAAUUGCAAGUUGUUGCUAUUAGUUAAACUCUGUGUUAGCGAAAAAAUUUAGAUAUAAUGUACAGUUUUUUCAGCACUCUAUUAAACUAUAAAUAUUAUUUUUAUCAAGAUAAAAUAUUUCUCGAAGUAAGAAUGUCAACAUAUGAGGGCAAUACAUAGAUUUUAAAAGACCAAGGACAUCGGCUAGAUGAUAGAGUUAUGGACUACUUUUACCUUUUUUUGGUUAAAGGUAAAGCAUGAAGAAGUUGUACAUGCAUAAAUUUAGAUAUAAUGUGCAGUUUUUUCAGCACUCCAUUAAACUGUAAAUAUUAUUUUUAUCAAGAUAAAAUAUUUCUCGAAAUAAGAAUGUCAACAUAUAAGGGCAAUACAUAGAUUUUAAAAGACCAAGGACAUCGGCUAGAUGAUAGAGUUAUGAACUAUUUUUUCCUUUUUUUGGUUAAAGGUAAAGCAUGAAGAAGUUGUACAUGCAUAUGUGGUGUUCCGUGAAAGUUUUGAAUAAGCUUUUCCUUGUUUUUUGGACAAAAAAUUUUCUACUUCAUUAGUCAAUAAAUCAAUAAGUAUGUUACUAUGGACAACUUCAAUCUCUUGUUAUCAUUUAUAUUUAGAAAUAUGUUUCAAAUGUAUAAUAUACUUCUCUUUAUAUAGUGAGGUGCUUUCUUUCUUAAAUUUUUUCCACUCAAAUUUUAUUGGGGUGCUUAAAUUUGAUAAUAAUAGUUAUCCUCUUAAACGAAAACUUCUUAGAGGACUAAAUGAAGGAUGGAUUGAAGUACUCCAUCAUAUCUAUUUGAUCUCUCUUAACUUUGAUGGUUGAAUAGGUGUAUAAUGUGAUUUCAAGAAUCUUCUUUCUCAAAUUCGUAGUAGGAUUCAUGUAUGUUGUCUUCAAAUGGAUGUUGUGAGUCGUAUAUUAGUACACAAAGGUGUUUUUCCGAGUUAACCCUCAAAUCUGAGUAAAUAUUGUUUGGAGAUGGUUAGCCCUUAACUCUAAAAUGUUAACUCUAUUUGUCUUUUCUAGACAUAUGGUUGCUUACAUUCAUUUUGUUCCUUCAUGCUUCAAUGACAAUUAACAUAGACAUUUGUACUUCCUUUUGCUCCUGGAUUUCUUUUAUCAUUAGUGUUGAACUACAACUCUUCAUUUGAUAAGAUAUUCAUUUGGUUAUAGAAGGUUCAAGCUCAAACUUAGUAAAAUGUGUAGUACAUGUUUCAUGUCGAACAUGAUCUUUUUUAUGGUCUUACCAACAAGUGAAUGAAUACCUCAAUUUGGGAUUAUAGGAAGUCAAAAUGUACAGCUGAUUUCUUUUCCUAAUCAACCGAAAUAAGUAUUUGACGAGAAACUAUUGCAAGCUGUUGUUGAAACAUUGCUAUUGUGCCGACACUUUUAGUUUCAGGACAACUUUCUCAAUGGCGAAAUCAGGCCUCAACUUAAUAUUUGACAUGUUUCCAUUAAAGAUGUCAAUCUGAUCCUUAUUUGAGCUAUCCUGAAGAUUCAACAUCAUUGCAUAUUUCUCAACAAAAGUUGUCUACAUCUAUGUUAAAUUUUAAUUAUUUGGAGUUUGGAUACUGUUUAAAAAUUAGAGUUUCAUCUCUGCAGCUGCAGAUUUGAAUAAGUUUGUCCUAGGAAAGAGGCAAAAGUUAUACUGAAAGAAGUUGAAGGCAAAAGCUUCUAAUUUUUGUAUAAAGCAGACUGCUCGGAGGGAAUGGCUAUAUUGAUUCUUUUCAUCAUGACCACGAGGAUCACGUAGAACAACCUGUUUUGGUAAGCCUACAAAUCCAGACCCAGAUCAUCGUUAGUUUUAUUGCUUUCUGAAUCAUAGUAGUUUCAAGCUUAAUGAGCUUGAUUUUUUGAUAAAGUAGAAAUCCUCCUUGUUCAUUUUCCAUUACUGGGAGUUUCUGAUCUGAGAAUCUGCUAUCUUUUAAACUACUGGUGUGAGGAUUACUUUUGUAGUUUUUCAUUGAUCGGUUUUUGUUACUAUCUUAUUUCUUCUACUUUGAUCAUAGUGUUAUAUUGUUGUAGAUACUGUUCAACAUGCCUUGUUAUGCUUUCACAUAAAUUACUUCUUUUAUCGGAUUGCUUUGAUUUGUUUUUCGUUGAACCGACUGUCUAUCAGAGAGGGACUCGAAUUUGUGGGACUACAUUAUCUUCUUGUUGUUGUAUUUUUGUUUCAUCAAUUGUUUUAGGAUUUUCACAAUACUGGUUGGUAGAUACUAGGAUUUUCACAAUACUGAUUGGUAGAUAUAUAUCUCCUUAUUUAGAAAUGAGAAUUAAAAAGGACAAACACUAUAUCUUCUAAUUGUACUAAAGGUAGUACAGAUUGUAUAGUAAAUUUUGCUCUUUUUCAUUGAUGAACAAAUAUUUGUCUCAUUUUGCUUGACUUUGUGUACAACUUUUGCACUAUUUUCUUACAAUUCUCUAUAGAUUUUUGCUAAGCUUGGUUUAUUUUCUCAACUCUUUUUUUGUAGAUCUCAACUCUUCAAUGGUGAAUCUAUGUGUUGCUAAGUUUCUUCUCUUUGUGUAGAAACUAAAUCUCUCUGCCUCAAGAUUUUUGUUUGUUUAGGAUGCCUUAUCGAUGUUUUCUCAAGAUUUAAGGUAAAUUUACAUGUUUUUCAAUUUGCCUAAUUGACCUAUUUUCUCUUCAAGGUCAAAUCUCUGAUUUUAAUAUUCAAAGGGCUAUUUCGGGUCCUUGUACUUUUUGUACUAUGCUUCAAUACAAAAAUACAAGAGUAGACAAAUUAUGGUUUGUUUCACAUUAAACAUAUUAGCACACAAUAAAGUUUUGACGUUUCUAGCUCAUAUUUCGAAAAGUAAAAGGCUGAAGAACAAUGUUUCUUUUCUCUGUAUGUAGUACGCAACUCAUAAAAUAUAUUUAGUGAAUGAUUUCCUCGGAGAAAAUAUGUUUUGUUGAUGUUCUUUCAAAGAUGUUUGCUCAUAAAAUGCUCCCUUUCUUUAUUUGUGAAGAGAAAACAUUUUGAUACUUCUUAACAAUGUCUAGCUUGCACCUACUAUGAUGUCAAUGUAAGCGACAUAAUAUGAGAUGUGCAAAGGAGCAUAUGUUAGCCCUGCGUAUUACUAUGUACUAUUAAAUUAGUAACAAUAGUAGGAUAAAUAUUGUGUUUUUAGCAACAUUUAGGGCU
This 3537-nucleotide long non-coding RNA is filed under the name Solanum lycopersicum (tomato). Its description in RNAcentral is "partial TCONS_00034629". Lineage: Eukaryota; Viridiplantae; Streptophyta; Magnoliopsida; Solanales; Solanaceae. The record is from RNAcentral.